This 501-nucleotide ribosomal RNA is filed under the name uncultured bacterium. RNAcentral describes it as "partial 16S ribosomal RNA". It matches the Rfam family "Bacterial small subunit ribosomal RNA", at positions 29 to 523 of the family's 1533-position model. The record is from RNAcentral.
AUUGAACGCUGGCGGCAUGCCUUACACAUGCAAGUCGAACGGCAGCACGGGUGCUUGCACCUGGUGGCGAGUGGCGAACGGGUGAGUAAUACAUCGGAACGUACCUUAUCGUGGGGGAUAACGCAGCGAAAGCUGUGCUAAUACCGCAUACGCCCUGAGGGGGAAAGCGGGGGAUCGCAAGACCUCGCGCGAUUAGAGCGGCCGAUGCCUGAUUAGCUUGUUGGUGGGGUAAAAGCCCACCAAGGCGACGAUCAGUCGCUGGUCUGAGAGGACGAUCAGCCCCGCUGGGACUGAGACACGGCCCAGACUCCUACGGGAGGCAGGAGUGGGGAAUUUUGGACAAGGGGGGCAACCCUGAUCCAGCAAUGCCGCGUGAGUGAAGAAGGCCUUCGGGUUGUAAAGCUCUUUUGUCAGGGAAGAAACACCGGCUCUAACACAGUCCGGGAAUGACGGUACCUGAAGAAUAAGCACCGGCUAACUACGUGCCAGCAGCCGCGGUAA